GCCGGCGUAACUCAGUUGGUAGAGUAUCUCACUCGUAAUGAGAAAGCCCGCGGUUCGAAUCCGCGCGCCGGCU
RNAcentral lists this transfer RNA (73 nucleotides) under Desulfobacter postgatei 2ac9. It matches the Rfam family "tRNA". From Rfam's summary of the family: Transfer RNA (tRNA) molecules are approximately 80 nucleotides in length. The record is from Rfam by way of RNAcentral. Lineage: Bacteria; Pseudomonadati; Thermodesulfobacteriota; Desulfobacteria; Desulfobacterales; Desulfobacteraceae.